This 621-nucleotide ribosomal RNA is filed under the name Escherichia coli. RNAcentral describes it as "partial 23S ribosomal RNA". It matches the Rfam family "Bacterial large subunit ribosomal RNA", at positions 199 to 862 of the family's 2925-position model. Lineage: Bacteria; Pseudomonadati; Pseudomonadota; Gammaproteobacteria; Enterobacterales; Enterobacteriaceae. The record is from RNAcentral.
CAUCUAAGUACCCCGAGGAAAAGAAAUCAACCGAGAUUCCCCCAGUAGCGGCGAGCGAACGGGGAGGAGCCCAGAGCCUGAAUCAGUGUGUGUGUUAGUGGAAGCGUCUGGAAAGGCGCGCGAUACAGGGUGACAGCCCCGUACACAAAAAUGCACAUAUUGUGAGCUCGAUGAGUAGGGCGGGACACGUGGUAUCCUGUCUGAAUAUGGGGGGACCAUCCUCCAAGGCUAAAUACUCCUGACUGACCGAUAGUGAACCAGUACCGUGAGGGAAAGGCGAAAAGAACCCCGGCGAGGGGAGUGAAAAAGAACCUGAAACCGUGUACGUACAAGCAGUGGGAGCCUCUUAAUGGGGUGACUGCGUACCUUUUGUAUAAUGGGUCAGCGACUUAUAUUCUGUAGCAAGGUUAACCGAAUAGGGGAGCCGAAGGGAAACCGAGUCUUAACUGGGCGUUAAGUUGCAGGGUAUAGACCCGAAACCCGGUGAUCUAGCCAUGGGCAGGUUGAAGGUUGGGUAACACUAACUGGAGGACCGAACCGACUAAUGUUGAAAAAUUAGCGGAUGACUUGUGGCUGGGGGUGAAAGGCCAAUCAAACCGGGAGAUAGCUGGUUCUCCCCGA